CACUUUCUGUCACUUUGGACAAACACUUGACUUCCUUUGCUCCGAUGUGCCAUUGCGUCCCGACGCGAUCCGGUCGAGGGACUUGUCAUGUUUGCGGAUGUUUGACUUCCUCCGUGUUUGCCGUCGUGGAAGACAUGCGGGAGGACAGGAGCGCGAGCUGGGGAAGCAGGAGGAUGCCCCGAUCAGCCAACCGACUCUGCGCAAUCAGCAGCGUGGCGUGGUUGAAAGAUCAGUGAUUAGGCAGCCAGCGCAGUGUAGUCGGUGCGGUACUGAGCAGGCCGUCCGGCUGGGUGUGAACUGUGCAAUGAGCCUGUCACCCGGCAGCCUGCAGGAGGGCCCAGGCCCACUCUGCUGUGCAAGAUCUCUCGACAAGACUCCUCGCUGGGGCAUAUGCCUGCGCUUAACACCGCGACCUGCUUCCACAUGUUGCUGGCAUCCUUGUCUGAAGCACAGAGACAGGCCUCCCAGAAGUGCUGACAUGCUGUUCUUCCCGUGGUUUGUAAGAGCAAGGAUUGAGGUUAGUUGAGGAAGCAUGGGCACUUUGUUUUCUGAAGUUGUGCCAGCCUGUCAACGUGAUAACAGAAUGGGACAGAUGUCCCCUAAAGUCCAGUAGAGUGGACAACAGCUCAAGAGAAUGUGAGGUCAAAAGAGAUCUUGUCUCGACUAAAAUGGAGAAAAAAAAACAACGUCAAGGUAAACAAUUGACAGCGUAGAAGCAAAAAGUCCACGGGGAAAAAAAAGUUCAUUCUGGCUGAAACACGCGCAUGAGAACUUAACACCGAGCAGGGCGUAAUCCGACAUCUCACUUUCUGGACGCCCUGGCCGGCACCUCUGGCUCGCUCAGCCGUAAUGACCCCUCUGAGCCAAACAUCCACUCGCAUCUCCUUCUGCUUCCCUUCACCUGUCCCAGCCUUGGUGUGUAUCAGAUUCAGGCAAAGGGCCCCAGCAAGCAAUGCCACUCAUGGGGGAGACUCAGAAGCCAAGAAUGCCAGAGGCCCCUGCUCUGAGCCCCUGAGCACAAUGACUGGCACCACCACUGCAGUGAGAGGGCAGUUGGAGACGGACAGACGGAAGGAGAGAGGGAGGGAGGGAGGAAGGGAGGGAGGUCAGGGAGGAAAGAAACAGACAAAGAAAGGGAAGAGAAUAAACAAGAACAAAUAUAUGUCAGAGGCAGUCGUCAAGAUGUGUCCUUAAUAAACAUCCUUCUAAUGCAACGGUGCCAUCCCGCUAAUGGUGCCUCUGUCACCUCUCUGUGGGGCGCUGAUGAGGCUUUCAUGGGGACGCGUCUGGCCAGGGCUGCCUGGAUGAUGGGCCUGGACUGAAAGGAUGGGCAGAGUUUGCGGAUGAAGCGACGCUAAUGAACUUUUCUGGGAAAGGAGUGGACGUGGAGGCGGGCCGAGUCAGCCAUGCGUUAGAGCCUUGAGCGGCGUCCGCAAACACACAUCGCUGUUUGAGAUGCCGCUCCUCAUUUGGAAAUAUGAAGUCUUAAUCAUCCCAGCGGGAGUCCAGCCGGCUGCUGUCCCAUGAUUCCAUUUGUGUGGAUCGCUGGCGCAUUUAAGUGUCAGCCAUGAUGGCUUGCCACGCCUACCAAGACACCCACUGCAAGGAGGAAAGGGGCUCGUCAGUCUCUCUCUUAUAACAAUGCAGAACACCGUGAUGAGAAGUGAGAAUGAGCAGAACCCUGACUAUUGACUCUAUGGGCUAAGCGCUAAACACACUAAAGAUAUAGUAGAGAUCAAAUAUACUGCUUCAAGAUGUGCAAUACAUCGUUUACAGGACAUCACUCUAUACUUGUCUGGGGAAUUGAGACUUUGGCCUUUUUGGGUCUCCACCAUCACAUUCUGUCUGUCU
Molecule: long non-coding RNA, 1851 nt
Organism: Clupea harengus (Atlantic herring)
Lineage: Eukaryota; Metazoa; Chordata; Actinopteri; Clupeiformes; Clupeidae
Source: Ensembl